GAGGCCCGCGUUCAAAGGAUGGACAUCAAAGCUGUUGAAUGAUUGAGAAUUUGCAGAGAUUAAAAAGGGCGGAUUUGGAUUAGGGAACAUUGAGCUGGCAUUGGAAACGGAGGCGGUAAUGAAUGAGGAUGGAGGCAAUGGUGCACAACAUGAACCUAUGGAAGAAAAUCAAGAAGAUGAAGGUGAUGAUCGGAUCAAGGCAAUGGAGGACAU
Ipomoea nil (Japanese morning glory) is the source of this 213-nucleotide long non-coding RNA. RefSeq lists it as uncharacterized. The transcript has 3 exons. The record is from RefSeq and is a predicted model, not a curated record. Lineage: Eukaryota; Viridiplantae; Streptophyta; Magnoliopsida; Solanales; Convolvulaceae.